Molecule: ribosomal RNA, 253 nt
Filed under: uncultured bacterium
Lineage: Bacteria
Description: partial 16S ribosomal RNA
Rfam family: Bacterial small subunit ribosomal RNA
Source: RNAcentral
UACGGAGGGUGCAAGCGUUAUCCGGAUUCACUGGGUUUAAAGGGUGCGUAGGUGGGUUGAUAAGUCAGUGGUGAAAUCCCCGAGCUUAACUUGGGAACUGCCAUUGAUACUAUUGAUCUUGAAUACCGUGGAGGUCAGCGGAAUAUGUCAUGUAGCGGUGAAAUGCUUAGAUAUGACAUAGAACACCGAUAGCGAAGGCAGCUUACUACAUGUUCAUUGACGCUGAGGCACGAAAGCGUGGGGAGCAAACAGG